GUAAUGUGAAUUGCAGAAUUCAGUGAAUCAUCGAAUCUUUGAACGCACAUUGCGCCCUGUGGUAUUCCGCAGGGCAUGCCUGUUCGAGCGUCAUUUAACCACUCACGCCUAGCGUGGUAUUGGGGCACGCGGUCUCCGCGGCCCUCAAAAUUAGUGGCGGUGCCGGUGGGCUCUAAGCGUAGUACAUACUCCCGCUAUAGAGUUCCCCCCGGUGGCUCGCCAGAACCCCCAAUUUUUACAGGUUGACCUCGGAUCAGGUAGGGAUACCCGCUGAACUUAAGCAUAUCAAUAAGCGGAGGAAAAGAAACCAACAGGGAUUACCUCAGUAACGGCGAGUGAAGCGGUAACAGCUCAAAUUUGAAAGCUGCCAACAGGCCGCGUUGUAAUUUGUAGAAGCUGCUUUGGGUGUCGGCCUGGUCUAAGUUCCUUGGAACAGGACGUCAUAGAGGGUGAGAAUCCCGUAUGUGAUCGGUGCCGUUGCCCGUGUAAAGCGCUUUCGACGAGUCGAGUUGUUUGGGAAUGCAGCUCAAAAUGGGUGGUAAAUUUCAUCUAAAGCUAAAUAUUGGCCAGAGACCGAUAGCGCACAAGUAGAGUGAUCGAAAGGUGAAAAGCACUUUGGAAAGAGAGUUAAACAGUACGUGAAAUUGUUGAAAGGGAAGCGCUUGCAACCAGACUUGCGGGCGGUCGAUCAUCCGAGGUUCUCCCCGGUGCACUCGAUCGUUCUCAGGCCAGCAUCGGUUUCCGGGGUGGGAUAAAGGCGGUGGGAAUGUGGCUCUUCGGAGUGUUAUAGCCCACCGUGCAAUGCCGCCACUGGGGACCGAGGACCGCGCUUCGGCUAGGAUGCUGGCGUAAU
This 853-nucleotide ribosomal RNA is filed under the name uncultured Helotiales. Its description in RNAcentral is "eukaryotic LSU rRNA". The stretch from base 244 to 853 matches the Rfam family "Eukaryotic large subunit ribosomal RNA", at positions 1 to 635 of the family's 3401-position model. The record is from RNAcentral. Lineage: Eukaryota; Fungi; Ascomycota; Leotiomycetes; Helotiales.